CGCCUCUUGCAAAGCAAAAAAUAAGAGGUCCCGCCUGCCCUGUGACUAUAUGUUUAACGGCCGCGGUAUUUUGACCGUGCGAAGGUAGCGCAAUCACUUGUCUUUUAAAUGAAGACCCGUAUGAAUGGCAUAACGAGGGCUUAGCUGUCUCUUUUCUCCAAGUCAGUGAAAUUGAUCUCCCCGUGCAGAAGCGGGGGUACAAACAUAAGACGAGAAGACCCUAUGGAGCUUUAGACACAAAGCAGUCCAGAUUAAGACUCCAGAAUUAAAACGGAGCAAUAAAAUGACAAUCCUGCUCAAAUGUCUUUGGUUGGGGCGACCAUGGGGAAAAACAAAACCCCCACGUGGAAUGGAAGAACUUCUUCUACAACCAAGAGUCGCCACUCUAAGUGACAGAACCUCUGACCAUAAAUGAUCCGGUACUACCGAUCAACGAACCGAGUUACCCUAGGGAUAACAGCGCAAUCCCCUUCCAGAGCCCAUAUCGACAAGGGGGUUUACGACCUCGAUGUUGGAUCAGGACAUCCUAAUGGUGCAGCCGCUAUUAAGGGUUCGUUUGUUCAACGAUUAAAGUCCU
RNAcentral lists this ribosomal RNA (577 nucleotides) under Beryx decadactylus (alfonsino). RNAcentral describes it as "partial 16S ribosomal RNA". It matches the Rfam family "Bacterial large subunit ribosomal RNA", at positions 1817 to 2597 of the family's 2925-position model. The record is from RNAcentral. Lineage: Eukaryota; Metazoa; Chordata; Actinopteri; Beryciformes; Berycidae.